Small nucleolar RNA from Octodon degus (degu), 102 nucleotides. RefSeq annotates it as small nucleolar RNA U13. NCBI's taxonomy places the organism in Eukaryota, Metazoa, Chordata, Mammalia, Rodentia, Octodontidae. The record is from RefSeq and is a predicted model, not a curated record. The transcript has a single exon.
AUCCCUCAGUUCAUGAGCGUGACGAUUGGGUGUUCUUAUCUUAUGCAUGAGAGGUGCCUCCCUCAAACCUUGUUACAAUGUGGGCACAUUACCUGUCUGAUG